UGUUGCUUGCAAGGGCGUAUGGUGGAUGCCUUGGCAGACAGGACCGAUGAAGGACGUUUGAGGCUGCGAUAUGCCUCGGGGAGCCGCCAACAGGGCUUUGAUCCGAGGAUUUCCGAAUGGGGGAACCCACCGACCGUCAUGGGUCGGUACCGGCUUCGGCCGGGGGGUACGCAGGGAAGUGAAACAUCUCAGUACCUGCAGGAAAGGAUAUUCCGUGAGUAGUGGCGAGCGAAAGCGGAUGAUGGCCAAACCUUGCGCGUGUGAUACCCGUCGGGGGUUGCGCGCGGGGUGUUGCGGGAUCGCGUGCGCCGGCUCCGACGGGCCGGCCGGCAGUUGCAGAAAACCAUGUGUCAGGGGAACCGGGUUGAAUACCGGGCCGCAGAGGGUGAGGGCCCCGUACCUGAACGCGCAUGGUCUGCCGAUCGCGUCUCCCAAGUAGCACGGGUCCCGUGGAACCCCGUGCGAAUCCGCCCAGACCGUUGGGUAAGCCUGAAUAUUCCUGUCUGACCGAUAGCGAACGAGUACCGUGAGGGAAAGGUGAAAAGUACCCCGGGAGGGGAGUGAAAUAGUCCCUGAAACCGUGCGCCUACAAUCCGUCGGAGCCCUUUUGUGGGGUGACGGCGUGCCUAUCGAAAAAUGAGUCUGCGAGUCAGUGGCAUGUGGCGAGCAUAACCCGUGUGGGGUAUGCGUAGCGAAGGCGAGUCUUAAAAGGCGUUUGAGUCGCGUGUCCUGGACCCGAAGCGGGAUGAUCUAGCCCUGAGCAGGUUGAAGCGCGGGUAAGACCGCGUGGAGGACCGAACCCACCUGGGUUGAAAACCGGGGGGAUGACUUGGGGCUAGGGGUGAAAGGCCAAUCAAAUUCCGUGAUAGCUGGUUCUCUCCGAAAUGCAUUUGGGUGCAGCGUCGGGUCAUUACGUCCCGGGGGUAGAGCUACUGGAUGCUUGCGGGCCCGUAUCGGGUACCAACAGCAACCAAACUCCGAAUACCGGUGACGCGUAUCCCGGCAGUGAGUCGGCGGGGGAUAAGCUUCGUCGUCGAAAGGGAAACAGCCCAGACCGUCGUCUAAGGUCCCGAAGCGUGUGCUAAGUGGGAAAGGAUGUGGAGUCGCAUAGACAGCCAGGAGGUUGGCUCAGAAGCAGCCACCCUUGAAAGAGUGCGUAACAGCUCACUGGUCUAGUGGUUCCGCGCCGACAAUGUAGCGGGGCUCAAGCACACCACCGAAGACGCGGCAGUAUUUUGUACUGGGUAGGAGAGCGUCCCAUGAGGGGCGAAGCGGCCGUGUGAACGCGCCGUGGACUUCAUGGGAGUGAGAAUGCAGACAUGAGUAGCGAGAGACGGGUGAAGAUCCCGUCCGCUGGAUGACCAAGGGUUCCAGGGCCACGUUCAUCGUCCCUGGGUGAGUCGGGUCCUAAGGCGAGGCCGACAGGCGUAGUCGAAUGGAUGAACGGGUCGAUAUUCCCGUACCGGCUUUCAGCCGCCAAAACCGAGGCUUGGAGUACUAACCUCCGGGUCCGGGCUUACUGCUCCUUCGGGGGCGGGAUGCCCUGGCCUGUUGGGACCGAUCCUUGUAGUAGGUCAGCGCAGGAGUGACGCAGAAGGGUAGCCGGCCGCGGAGGUGGUCUUCCGUGGUCAAGCACGCAGGGCGUGGGACAGGCAAAUCCGUCCCGCAUGGGUCCGAGGUGCGAUGAUGGGGGCCUUAUGGCCCGAUAUCCGGUGAUCCCGGCUGCCGAGAAAAGCUUCGGCGUCAGGCUCAAAGCCGCCCGUACCCCAAACCGACACUGGUGGUCAGGUAGAGAAUACCAAAGCGAUCGAGCGAAUCCUGGUCAAGGAACUCGGCAAAUCACUCCCGUUCCUUCGGUUUAAGGGAGACCCCCGAUGGUGAACACACUUGCUGUGGGAGCUUUUGGGGGUGGCACAGACCAGGGGGUAGCGACUGUUUACCAAAAACACAGGUGCAUGCGAAGGCGCAAGCCGCUGUAUAUGCACUGACGCCUGCCCGGUGCCGGAAGGUUAAGAGGAUCCGUCAGCCUUCGGGUGAAGCGGUGAAUUCAAGCCCCGGUAAACGGCGGUGGUAACUAUAACCAUCCUAAGGUAGCGAAAUUCCUUGUCGGGUAAGUUCCGACCUGCACGAAUGGCGUAA
Molecule: ribosomal RNA, 2139 nt
Filed under: human gut metagenome
Description: bacterial LSU rRNA
Rfam family: Bacterial large subunit ribosomal RNA
Source: RNAcentral